CGAAGGAUAGUUUAAGGUAAGUAAAAUAUUAAUUUUGGAUAUUAAAGAUAUUCUUUUCUUUCGA
RNAcentral lists this transfer RNA (64 nucleotides) under Procambarus clarkii (red swamp crayfish). RNAcentral describes it as "tRNA-Pro". Lineage: Eukaryota; Metazoa; Arthropoda; Malacostraca; Decapoda; Cambaridae. The record is from RNAcentral.